This 243-nucleotide long non-coding RNA is filed under the name Phasianus colchicus (ring-necked pheasant). Its description in RNAcentral is "lncRNA (ENSPCLG00000017884.1)". Lineage: Eukaryota; Metazoa; Chordata; Aves; Galliformes; Phasianidae. The record is from RNAcentral.
GGAUGAAGGUUAAGGAAAAAAAAGGUGCAUCAGCAUUGCAUCAUUACAGCUUUCCAGCUGCUAUUCCUUGGGUUGUUGCUGCUCUCUCAGGCAAGCAGCAACUCUUUGCUACUGAAAGAUAGCAGAUUGUCUAGAAACAGACCUUCUUAUGCCUGACGGCCUGUCAAGGAUACAGCAGUGUCACAAGAGAAAGAUGGAUGAUCUGGAUAAAGGUAUGCUGAAGCCAUACAGCUGAGAUUGUGA